CAGCCGCCACGGUAAAACGGAGGGGGCAAGCGUUAUCCGGAAUUAUUGGGCGUAAAGGGUACGUAGGUGGCCUUUUAAGCGUAGGGUAUAAGGCAAUGGCUCAACCAUUGUUCGCCCUAUGAACUGGAAGGCUUGAGUGCAGGAGAGGAAAGCGGAAUUCCUAGUGUAGCGGUGGAAUGCAUAGAUAUUAGGAGGAACAUCAGCGGCGAAGGCGGCUUUCUGGACUGCAACUGACACUGAGAGACGAAAGCUAGGGGAGCAAAUGGGAUUAGAUACCCGCGUAGUCCCUGUCUCUUAUACA
This 301-nucleotide ribosomal RNA is filed under the name uncultured bacterium. RNAcentral describes it as "partial 16S ribosomal RNA". It matches the Rfam family "Bacterial small subunit ribosomal RNA", at positions 509 to 808 of the family's 1533-position model. The record is from RNAcentral.